RNAcentral lists this transfer RNA (66 nucleotides) under Varanus nebulosus (Clouded monitor). Its description in RNAcentral is "tRNA-Arg". Lineage: Eukaryota; Metazoa; Chordata; Lepidosauria; Squamata; Varanidae. The record is from RNAcentral.
CAAAGGCUAGUCUAAUUAAGACAACCGAUUUCGACUCGGUAAAUCUCAUCCCCAUGAGGUCUUUAU